GGCUGGGGAGUGGCUCACGUCUGUUGCCAGUAAUACGCAACUCUCUGACAGUGUACAUUCUCCGCUAUAGCCUGCGUUGCUAUUCUUCAUUUUCUCAGGAAUAUUAUUGAAGACGUAUCAAAACCUAAUAGUUGUAGAGAUAAAUAUGCUUGAACUACCGUAACAAAGCUAAUAAAUGUAAUGGAAUAUGGUAUGCGGUCAUAUAAUUAUAUAUUCAAGUACAAAAGCUUCAUAUCCCGUACUCAUAUAGCUUCUACAUCUAAACAAACUGCAAUUUGCAAGUGGUAGAUCUACCUGCAUGUAGCUAAGCGUGUUUCGUCUUCGGAACAGUUCACUUGUUGGAACACCUCUCUAUCCAGUAAAAGGUAAAUUAUAUAACAUCAUCUCAGUGAUAGUUCCUGCGUAAUGACAAAUAAGUUACGAAAAACAAACCAACAUGCAAAAGGAAACAAGCUUACCGUCCUCAGCGUCGCCACUCCUCCGACCACAAGUUCCACAGUGUAUCGUCCACAGUUAUGUUAACUAUCUACACACAAGCAAUGAUACAAAAGCGGCAGAUCAGGAAUUAAUACCAUCUUGCAUACGUGGGGAGAUUGAAGAAGCUAUCAACUUAAGACCGAUGACAACAGAAGACAGAGAAGAGAUUCAAUACGAGGAAGAAGAGAAGAGUGCGAAAAAUGAAGAAAAUAUAAGAAUAGCUGGUCCUGACGGCGGCUGGUCAUGGGUGGUACUGCUCGGAGCUUUUGUUGUCAUGACGCUGGUGUCAACGGUGGGACCGUGCUUCAGCCUGGUGUUCUCGAAGCUUCUGUUAGCCCUGGGCUCCUCCUCUAUCACAGUCGCGUGGAUCUUCAAUAUCUUCAGCCUGGUAUGGAACGUGGUGGGGCCGGUGGUGGGGCCGCUCACAGCAGAGGUGGGACACCGAAAGGUGGCCAUGGUGGGCUCCCUCAUGAUGGCCGCCGCCCUCAUCAUCUCCUCUUUCGCCUUCUCCACUUGGCACUUACUACUUUGCUUCUCUGUUCUCGGAGGUCUUGGUGCUGGCCUGGUCGUCACUACUAGCGUCCUCAUCGUCCCUCUUUACUUCACACAUCGUCUUGGUCGAGCCAAUGGUGUCUUCAUGGCCGGCACCAGUGUUGGACAGUUCAUCGCACCACACCUCAUCACUUUCCUGCAGGACAGAUAUGCCUUCACGGGAGCCACGCUUAUCCUUGGAGCCAUCGUCCUAAACACCAGCGUGGCUGCCGCAACUUUUCACCCAGUAUCUUGGCACACUGGUCAUCUGGAUUGUGAAACUGGAAAGCCAUUCCCGGAAAAAGUCUUCCUUCGUCAGUCUGCUUCCAGUCGUCAGCUAAACAGCAAUCUGGCAUCUUCAAAUCAAGUUACGUCUAACAGAAAGUCGAGGAAAAUGAAUGGAUUGCUCUUACGCGUUGCCCAGUCAACAUUACGCGACUUGGGCAUCCUGAGGUCUCCAAGAGCUCUGAUUAUUGCUGUCAGUAGCACAUUAGUAGUCAAUGGUUACCUAAACUUUAUAAUGAUGGUCCCUUUCAUGGUGCAGGAGGCUGGCCACUCCCCACAGUCAUCGGCAUGGUGUGUGUCUGUGUCCGGUGUCUUUAACCUGCUUACCCGCCUGGCUAUGUCUGCCUUCUCAGAGUGCCCCUGCUUCAACAUGCAUAUUUGUUACGUCGUUGGGAUCUUCACCAUCGCUGCCUCCAGUUUAGGUAGGAUGCCAAGCAGUCUUUCUGUAUUUCAGGUUACAUCUUGUCCCGCUUAGCAGAAAUCAAAGAAAAUGCCCCUUGUAAAUUUUGGUAACAGCAAAUAGUGCGGAUCACACACUCGUCAACAAACCUAAUACAGUAUCCUGUAAACAGUACAGUACUGUAUUCAAGUACAGUACAGUAUAUUGUGCCAUUUUAGUUCCAGUGACCCCUUAUAAAGAAUCUCAGAAUCAUAUUUAAGAUAUUCUCUAAUUUCAUAAAUCAUUUUAUCCUUUUAAGAAGACAAAAGUUAACUAUCUUUUCAUUAAAAAAGGCGUUAAUCAUAUAUCUAUAGUUAGAUCAUAAAAGCAGAGUUAUGCCAUCACUCUUCUAUCAAAAAUUUGCCAUUAGUCUGUAAGAGGUGAGGCUUGAUUGUGACAGUAUACAGAGACAAAUCCCUGCUGCUAAUGGUCACAAAUAUCAGCAUGGAAAACACUGUAAACUCAUUAUUUAUCCAGGUUUUAAACAAUAAGCCUCAGAUUAACUAAAAUAUGGGUAACAUAUUGGCGAGAAUCAUACACUGAAUUACUUAAUAUAAUAAAAUUAGAGAACACAUAAUUAUACAAGAACAAGUAAAGGAACAAACAAAAUGCAUGAAACCACAGCCUAAAUUAACCGAAACCAUAACUUCAGUCUUACCAUACACUAAUCUCCAUAUAAAUAUAUCCUGAGUCAGGCUAGCUGCACCGCACUUGGACCAAGCCCUUACACCAAUCAGACUCCUCACUCACCUGUCUGCCCACUGCCCGGAGGAGCUGGUAGAGCAGUGACCCCCACACAGUGCUGGUGCCAGCUUUUUCGUUUUUAACAAACGCAACAUGGCUGAUGGUGGUCAUGGGAGUAUGGGGAUGUGGUGUUGGUGCCUUCAUGGGACUCUACAACCUGGUCAUGAUCCGCUACAUGGGGAUCCACAACCUACC
Molecule: unclassified non-coding RNA, 2671 nt
Filed under: Homarus americanus (American lobster)
Lineage: Eukaryota; Metazoa; Arthropoda; Malacostraca; Decapoda; Nephropidae
Description: monocarboxylate transporter 12-like, transcript variant X2
Source: RNAcentral